AAGAAAAACCCUUAUGCAGCAAAAUUCUCAAAUCCACAUCCAGAAAUCUUCCAUCUUCGAAGAGAAUUUGCUCUCCAAUCCAAACCUCCGCGAUUUGGCGCUACUGCCUAUGAGAAGCUGUGAUUUUGCAUUGUCGAUUUUCACUUUAAAUGGUUUAUCUCCUUUGUGAAAGAUCUCCGUCGCAAUGUCGACGAUUUUGGCGUUCUGAACUUGCUCCCCCGCUCAGCUCGCCACUUCCUCAACCAUGAGCAGGCAGUGGUAUACGAAGUCUUUAUAACUUAUAACGACUCAUGACUUCAUGUGUGUGCUUUCUUAACUGGCUUGGAUUUGCUAGACAAGUGUGGAGCUAGCAGGAGCGUAUUUUUCUACAACCUAAUCAGAAUUCUAUAUUCUACAAUUCUCAUGCGAGCUGGAUUAUGAGUUACCAACAAGAGAAGAUUGUCAGGGUAGAGAGGAAUGCAAAUUGUAUAAUCUAUUUGAUGGGAAUAAGGAGUUACCUCCUUGUUGUGGUCGGGCUUCAAGUUUCUCACAUCAGUGACCUCAGGAAGCAGUUCAAUCUUAUGCCUCACUGCCUUUGUGCCUCAUGUGAUAUGCCUCUCAUUUCAUUUCAUAUUAUGUCUGCUGAAAAUUGAUUUAGAUGAUUGAGUAAUUGAGUUUUUGUAUUCAUUGUGCAAUCACUUCUGGGAGGAAUGAUGGUAAUAUUAAUAGUUUAAUACUAGGCUGGUAAAGUACCAACUAAAACUUAAAUUUUAGUCUGGAUUAACUCUGAGGUUUGCAAGAUUCAGCCAUUUUUUCAGACUGAGAUAAGUUACAUUGAAGGAUUAGUCCUGUUGUGAAAAAGGGGCUGGCUUAUAAUAAAAGUCUUGAUGUGGGAUCUUGUUCUCUUGAAUUCAAGAAUUUUUUUAGUUUAUGUUGUUGUUUCUACAAUUUACUGCUUCUAUUUAGUUGAAACGGUCUCACUGAUAUUUCUGAUUCCUUCUAUGUUUUACUAAUAAUACACCCUUUUGACUCACUAUUUAAUAAUGUAACUGCAAUUCUUUUCACAGGUAUAAUGGAGUUGAAGGUCUUCAUAUUAAAGUUACAUAGUUUGCCUCGUCUGUGGUCCUGGUGUUCUAGUCGAGUUGGAGAAGUCUGUUACUUCAAAAAAGUUCAUCUAUCAACUAGAAGAUCACCCUCGUCUGCUCCUGACUAGAUGGAGCGUCUCAUACAGGGGGAAAAGGUUAUACACGCAAGCGUCUCCUGAAUUAGAAAAGGACACUCGAUCUAACCUAGAUGUCCCUCUAUUCGAUCUUAUGAAUGGAGUAUCCAGGGAUAUUAUAAUGUUAAUGGCAUGGCAGGUAUGGGAGAAGCAAUCUUCUAUGAGGAAACUACGUAUUGCAUUCAAGGGGGUUGAUGGAAUUGCAGAUAUUGAUAUGGCUGGUGGGGCAUAACCUCUCACCAUCUCAAGAGGUAUUGAAAUUGUUCAUCCAUUUGCAUAGUAGCGUUCCUUUUUGAUCUCAUCAUUUGUGUCAGUAUAUGAAGAAUUCAUGAAACGUAGGAUUCUGAUCGCUUAGCAUCCUCUCAAUUUUCUUAUGUUAGGGAACUUACUUCAUCAACUGACACAUCAAUGAAAUUGAGAUUUUGCUUUGAGUUUUG
This is an RNA transcript of Salvia miltiorrhiza (redroot sage), 1635 nucleotides long. RefSeq lists it as uncharacterized. The record is from RefSeq and is a predicted model, not a curated record. NCBI's taxonomy places the organism in Eukaryota, Viridiplantae, Streptophyta, Magnoliopsida, Lamiales, Lamiaceae. The transcript is spliced from 6 exons.